This 516-nucleotide ribosomal RNA is filed under the name uncultured bacterium. RNAcentral's name for it is "bacterial SSU rRNA". It matches the Rfam family "Bacterial small subunit ribosomal RNA", at positions 13 to 518 of the family's 1533-position model. The record is from RNAcentral.
UUGAUCAUGGCUCAGAACGAACGCUGGCGGCGCGUCUAAGCAUGCAAGUCGAACGGCAAGAGGUAGCAAUACCUCCUAGAGUGGCGGACUGGUGAGUAACACGUGGGUGACAUACCCUUCAGAUGGGGAUAGCUAUUAGAAAUAGUAGAUAAUACCGAAUACGAGCACAGGGGUUAGAGAUCUGUGAGGAAAGGAGCUAAGGCUCCGCUGAAGGAAUGGCCUGCGGCCCAUUAGCUAGUUGGUGAGGUAAGAGCCCACCAAGGCGAUGAUGGGUAUCCGGCCUUAGAGGGUGAACGGACACAUUGGGACUGAGAUACGGCCCAGACUCCUACGGGAGGCAGCAGCUAAGAAUAUUCCGCAAUGGACGAAAGUCUGACGGAGCGACGCCGCGUUGGAUGAAGAAGGCCGGAAGGUUGUAAAAUCCUUUUGAAACUGAAGAAUAAGCGUUGUAGGGAAUGACAGCGUGGUGACAGUAGGUUUUGAAUAAGCAACGGCUAAUUACGUGCCAGCCGCAGC